CCUACGGGUGGCAGCAGUGAGGAAUAUUGGUCAAUGGACGAGAGUCUGAACCAGCCAAGUCGCGUGAAGGAUGACUGCCCUCUGGGUUGUAAACUUCUUUUAUAUGGGAAUAAAAUGUUCCACGUGUGGGAUUUUGUAUGUACCAUAUGAAUAAGGAUCGGCUAACUCCGUGCCAGCAGCCGCGGUAAUACGGAGGAUCCGAGCGUUAUCCGGAUUUAUUGGGUUGAUAGGGAGCGUAGGUGGAUUGUUAAGUCAGUUGUGAAAGUCUGCGGCUCAACCGUAGAAUUGCAGUUGAAACUGGCAGCCUUGAGUACAGUAGAGGAGGGCGGAAUUCUUGGUGUAGCGGUGAAAUGCUUAGAUAUCACGAAGAACUCCGAUUGCGAAGGCAGCUCUCUGGACUGCAACUGACGCUGAGGCUCGAAAGUGUGGGUAUCAAACAGGAUUAGAUACCCUUGUAGUC
RNAcentral lists this ribosomal RNA (460 nucleotides) under uncultured bacterium. RNAcentral describes it as "partial 16S ribosomal RNA". It matches the Rfam family "Bacterial small subunit ribosomal RNA", at positions 338 to 795 of the family's 1533-position model. The record is from RNAcentral.